AUGGACUCCGUCUGUGUCGAUCUGAAUUGUGCAGGUGAGUUUCGGUUCAUGAUGGCCGGAGAUUGCAAUGGUGUUCUCGCGAUGGUCGUGUAUGGACAACUUUUGUUGCUGACUUUGGGAAAGCCGAUGAUUUCGAUAUCGGACCUCAUUCUUUCUUUGUUUCCUACACAACUAACAAAAAGAUGCAAUCAAUUAUGCAGAUUUAAGUUUUAUUCCUCAUGUUUUGUUUUUCCUACGAACUGCAAAUAA
Non-coding RNA from Vicia faba (fava bean), 249 nucleotides. The record is from the annotation of a GenBank genome assembly. Lineage: Eukaryota; Viridiplantae; Streptophyta; Magnoliopsida; Fabales; Fabaceae.